This 305-nucleotide small nuclear RNA is filed under the name Heterocephalus glaber (naked mole-rat). RNAcentral describes it as "7SK RNA". It matches the Rfam family "7SK RNA", at positions 1 to 288 of the family's 331-position model. From Rfam's summary of the family: 7SK was discovered as an abundant small nuclear RNA in the mid-70s but a possible function has only recently been suggested. Two independent studies have found that 7SK RNA binds the CDK9/cyclin T complex (known as elongation factor P-TEFb). P-TEFb activates transcription by phosphorylating the C-terminal domain of RNA polymerase II. The record is from Rfam by way of RNAcentral. Lineage: Eukaryota; Metazoa; Chordata; Mammalia; Rodentia; Bathyergidae.
GGAUGUGAGAGCAAUCUGGCUGUGACAUGUCACCCCAUUGAUCACCAGCUGCUCUGGCUGGCUAGGCAGAUGUACGCUUCACUUCUCUCACCACCCCAUGUGGAUCCCUCCCGAAGCUGCAAGCUUGGUCUAAGAGGAUGACCACCCCCCAUAGAAGAGGAGAGUUUCCUCUGUCAAAGGUAUAAGAGUAGCUGCGGUCUCUUGCUCAAACCUUCAAAUAAGCUCUCAAGUUGAUUAGGCAGCAGUAGUAGGGAUGAGAAGGAUUAUAGAAGCAUGUAGGAGGAAUAAUUAGUGAAUGAAAAAAU